This 1971-nucleotide small RNA is filed under the name Pan troglodytes (chimpanzee). Its description in RNAcentral is "retained intron". Lineage: Eukaryota; Metazoa; Chordata; Mammalia; Primates; Hominidae. The record is from RNAcentral.
GAUAACCCUUCCCUCCAGGAUCUUCAUGAGGAUCUCAGUGAUGUCAUUUAUAAAGCCCCUGGGGUCUCGGGAGCCCUCAACAAUGCUGGAGAGACAGGCCACAGCUCUGAAGAGCUGCCCCAGCCCUGUGGAGCUGAAGCAGGGUCUGGAGGCCCCCUCUGGGGCCAGGCCAAUCAUGGGGAGGCCCCCAGGAGUUCCCAGGGAGGGAGACUCAGCACAGAUGAUGUCGAACAGCCUUUACCGCAGCCCUUCGAACAACCAUAACUGUCCCGGGCACUCCGCUGAUUGGCAACUGUGCCUCUAACAUGCCCCCGGCCAGCCUAGGGGGCCGGGAACCAAGCCCUCUGUUGGCAUCUCUGUCUUGUGGGUCCCCAUUCUAGAAUUAUUUCCGCGAUGCCUGGAACAUCUUCGACUUUGUGACUGUUCUGGGCAGCAUCACCGAUAUCCUCGUGACUGAGUUUGGGGUAAGUCUCCCUCCAGCUUCUCUCUGGGUGACUCUGGGCUGGACGAGGCAGGCGGCAGGGGGCGGGGGAGCGGUCCCAGAGGCAGUGUGUCCCGGCAGCCAUAGCUGCUUGAGCCAGCACUUGGCCAUGACCAGAGAGGGAGAACUGGGGCCCCGGGGACAAUGGCAGCCCCUCAGGAGGGCAUCGUGGGGAGAUGGGGGUGACCAAAGCUUGGCUGUAGGGCCAGCACUGAGGGGUGGGCUUUCCUGCAUCCUGGCCUAGGAAUUAAUAAUGCAGAUGAGUACAUUGAGGGAACUGAGACACUCAAAAGCUCCGAAAGCUGAGCCGGCUCCCAAACACCACCCUAUGUCAGGAGCCCAGAAAGAAUGGGUUUCGAGUCAAUUCUGUUUGAACCAACCCUCUCCUAGUUGGCAGGAGAGAGCCACAGCCCUCAGGCCAGUGUGGGGACACCACUCCCAGGGCCAUAGAGAGGUCCCCAGGGUGUCUUCCCUCCUCUAGCCCCGGGCCUGGGAGACUCUCAACAUGGGAGUCUCUGGACCUCUCUGUGGUGGCCUCACAGGCCACAUUGCCCUUCUCCUUUUCUGGAAGACUCAGGGCCCCAGAGGUCCUGUCCUAGACCCUCUCCUUGGCCAUCUGCCAAUGAGCCCAGGCUUGGGGUCCCUCAGGAGAUUGGGGGGAGGGUAGAAGAUCCUUGCAGGGGGAAGCAAUGGUCAAAAAAGGGUGUCAAAGCCAAGGGUCAAGGGUGAUAUCGAUGUCAUCUUACUAACAAUAAAAAUAACAAUAGCUCACGAGAAUCGCAGCCUUGCUGUGUGCCAGGGAACUGUGCCAAGUGGUUUACGUGGAUUGGCUCAGGAUAGAGGUCUUGGUCUCAGCUCGUGAGAGAAUUCCCUCGGAGGGUUCAACUGAAGGCACCCAAAUGCAGAGCUCACUGGUGGAGGGGAAGGGAAGGGUGCCCACAAGGGUGGCAAGGUGUCCAGCGACCAGCCACCAUGGGGAGCUGUUACCUGCCCAGGUGCUGAAGUGGGGAGGAAACCUGAGCCGGAGGCCAGGAGAAGCCACCAAGUGGGAGCUGUCCUGUCAAUGUGGAGAGACAGAGACCAGGGCCCAAGCAGGCAGAGAGCAAUAGGGGAGAAACACCCCAACCUUUCUCUCCCCUCAUCCCUCAUCUCCUGCCAGAGCCUCCCAUGGCCCAAAGUAAACCAGAAGCAAGCUGAAUAUGAUGCUCAGAGCAGGCAGGGAAGUCAGGAGAAUAGAUCUGGGUGUGGUCGGGCCUGAGGAAGAGGGUGUUGCCUCAUUUCACAGAUGGGAAAACUGACCUCAGCCGGGCACGGUGGCUCACGCCUGUAAUCCCAGCACUUUGGGAGGCCGAAGCCGGCGGAUCACCUGAGGCCAGGAGUUCAAGACCAGCCUGGCCAACAUGGUGAAACCCCGUCUCUACUGACAAUACAAAAAAAUUAGCCAGGUGUGGUGGUGCAUGCCUGUAAUCCCAGCUACUCAGGAGGCUGAG